This 258-nucleotide ribosomal RNA is filed under the name uncultured bacterium. Its description in RNAcentral is "partial 16S ribosomal RNA". It matches the Rfam family "Bacterial small subunit ribosomal RNA", at positions 96 to 354 of the family's 1533-position model. The record is from RNAcentral.
UUGCGGACGGGUGAGUAACGCGUGGGUAACCUGCCUUGCACUGGGGGAUAACACUUAGAAAUAGGUGCUAAUACCGCAUAAGCGCACGGUCCUGCAUGGGACAGUGUGAAAAACUCCGGUGGUGCAAGAUGGACCCGCGUCUGAUUAGCUGGUUGGCGGGGUAAAGGCCCACCAAGGCGACGAUCAGUAGCCGGCCUGAGAGGGUGGACGGCCACAUUGGGACUGAGACACGGCCCAAACUCCUACGGAAGGCAGCAG